CGGGCCGGGGGUGGUGCCGCCCCGGCGGCCGCGCGGGACGGACGGCAGCGGGAGCCGGGAACGGAGCCGGAGUCAGCCCGAGCCGGGCAGGAGGAGCCGCACUGGGAGCCGGGCGUGGUGAGCGCAGAGCGGAGAGCGGUGAGCGGAGCUGCCCCGGCCCCAGCCGGGCGGCUGCGGGCAGGAAGGUUCCGCGCUUGCUGGUUGCGCCUGAGGCGGAGCAUCCCGGCGGGGUCAGCCGUCUCCCUUUGCCAAGGGAGGUGGGCACUCCGGGCUUGGGGUGUUUUUUCUCCCCCCUGCCCUAGUACCCCGUGCGCGUUGUUCGUGCUCUCGGCGGGCAGGGCUGCCUAGCGGCAGGGCGCUGUUGCUCGCACGUCCCGCAGCGCCGGGGCUGCUCCUCCCGCUGUCCGGCACCGGCUGAGGCGGGUCCCGGUGGGCUUGGGAAGCCGCCGUGAGCUCGGGAGCAGCGCCCGCCGUGCCUCGCCGGUGCUGCUGCUCCGAGAGAGCCUUCUCAGCGGUUUGCCUGUCCUGUGCCGUAACCAAGGGCAUUUGAUUUUCACAAGCGUUUAACUGAGGUGCUUUUCUCACGAUGCAGUCCCUUUAGAGUUGGCCGUGAUAAUCAACCUGUGCAUUGGUCAUUUGGCUUGUAUCCCUAUAUCUUCUUCCUGCUUUUCCAAAGGAUAUAAUCUUAAAUUGUCCUGGCUUCAGCAGUAAAGGAUAAAUUUGUUCACUGGCUGACUUGUCAUCUCACCUUUGUGAUGGAAAAAUGCUUGCUUAAAAUAAACCCUUUUUAUUCUACUAAAACCUUUGAAUACAAGAUCUGUUGUGAUUUUUAAAACACAAACACAGUAAUGUCAGAACCUGACCCUUCAUCUGGAUUUUUAGGAAACAUGGAAAAUGGGACUUUUCUGGAGCUGUAUCCCACAUCCCUUUCAACUUCUGUGGAUUCAUCACCUGGCCGUUUAUCCAAUAUCUAUGUCUAUGUUUCUAUAUUCCUUAGUCUCUUAGCUUUUCUCCUUUUGCUAUUGAUCAUUGCACUUCAGAGGCUGAAAAACAUAAUUUCUUCCAGUUCCUCCUACCCCGAAUACAAUAGUGAUGCUGGAAGUUCGUUCACUAAUUUAGAGGUUUGCAGUAUUUCUUCCCAGCGCUCUGCUCUCUCAAACCUUUCUUCAUGAAACUAAAUGAAAGGUAAUACAUGCGGAAUGGAAGAGCUCUGUCUAGUUUCUUGGGGAGGUAGUGCAUGCAACAUUUGCCUUAGAAGACUAUUAUGAAGAGGAGGUUUUUAAAGUUUCCUUAUUUUUUUUUUUCCAUUUCCUUUUCUAGUCUUCAUUUGCCCUCUAACUAAUUUUCAUUUUGGACAAUGAAUAAUGAUACCUGAUCAUCAUUUCUUGCCUGUAAUAGCAAUGCUGUGUCUUUCUCACACAUAUAUGGUGUUCAUUAAGAGUAUUCCUGUCAAAUUGUAACACAGUUUUAACUGGAUGUGUCAUUUUUCUGCCCUAGUUGUGACCCCUUCCUUGGUUUUAUGUCAGUAAUAUGCUGACUAAUUUUCUUUCUCAUUUUUUAAUUAUAUAAGGACUUCUGAAUGAAAUCCCUAUUGCAAAAGUAUAUGAAAAAUCUGAUUAAAUUAUAAAUAUUAUAAAAAUUUAAAGCUGAUGGUUUUGUUUUUAAUUUUCAUGUCUUUUUUGUAUUUAUUGAUGUUUAUAAAACACAACUAAAAUCCAUUUCUUGAAGAUUAUUGCCUUUGUUUAUUUGUACUCCCAACUUGUUCUGUAUAAAGUCUGUAUUUCAGUUUUUGAGUCUCUGGUUAACUUAGUAAAGCGACUUUAAUAACAAUACUCACUAUCAAAUGUGUGGAGGUAUUUUUGGACUCUGUUGCAUCUCAUUUGCUUAAUGACUUUUUCCUCCAGGGGGCAGCUUUUGCUGCUGAAUCAUAAAUACCACUCGACUCCUUUGCAUUCUUCAGUGAUACUAUAGCUUAUUCUUACUGGAUACUAGGACAAAUCAGUGGUUUCUUUUUAAAGACCUGCAUUCAACAAAUACAGUUUGCAAGGAAAUAGCUCCUAAACUGUCCUUUAGGAACAAGAUGUUUGUACUUAUGUGAGCAGGGCCAGCAGGGACAGAAAUCCCUUGUACUGGUGAAGAGUUUCUGGGCCAAGUUUUGUCCUUUGGUUUCACAAAUGCACACUAGGGUGGAGUGGGGACUCGAAGAUCUGCAUUAUGGCCAGGCAAACCUGUGCCCUGACCCUUAGAGCUGUACCUGCAGAGGGUAGGAAGAGAUGGGAGAGAAAUGGCAGUGUCCCUGCCCAU
RNA transcript from Empidonax traillii (willow flycatcher), 2304 nucleotides. It is a transcript of the gene named serine rich and transmembrane domain containing 1, with no coding region annotated. Lineage: Eukaryota; Metazoa; Chordata; Aves; Passeriformes; Tyrannidae. The record is from RefSeq and is a predicted model, not a curated record. The transcript is spliced from 5 exons.